This 2403-nucleotide ribosomal RNA is filed under the name human gut metagenome. Its description in RNAcentral is "bacterial LSU rRNA". It matches the Rfam family "Bacterial large subunit ribosomal RNA", at positions 502 to 2925 of the family's 2925-position model. The record is from RNAcentral.
CGUGAGGGAAAGGUGAAAAGAACCCCGGGAGGGGAGUGAAAGAGAACCUGAAACCAUAUGCCUACAAGAAGUCAGAGCCCGUUAAAGGGUGAUGGCGUGCCUUUUGUAGAAUGAACCGGCGAGUUACUGUAUGGAGCGAGGUUAAGCAGGAUAUGCGGAGCCGAAGCGAAAGCGAGUCUUAAGAGGGCGCGAGUUGCAUGCAGUAGACCCGAAACCGGGUGAUCUAGCCAUGACCAGGUUGAAGUUGGGGUAAAACCCGAUGGAGGACCGAACCGACCCCCGUUGAAACGUUGGCGGAUGAGUUGUGGCUAGGGGUGAAAUUCCAAUCGAACCCGGAGAUAGCUGGUUCUCCCCGAAAUAGCUUUAGGGCUAGCGUCGAGAGAAGAGUUGCGUGAAGGUAGAGCACUGAAUAUGUGAUGGCCCCAUCUCGGGGUACUGAGCAUAAUCAAACUGCGAAUGUCACGCCAACAUGCUCGGCAGUCAGACAGCGGGUGAUAAGGUCCGUUGUCAAGAGGGAAACAGCCCAGACCAUCAGCUAAGGUCCCAAAAUGUAUGCUAAGUGGAAAAGGAUGUGGAGAUGUACAGACAACUAGGAGGUUGGCUCAGAAGCAGCCAUCCUUUAAAGAGUGCGUAACAGCUCACUAGUCGAAUGACUCUGCGCCGAUAAUUUACCGGGGCUAAGCAUACUACCGAAGCUAUGGAUCCCAAGGGAUGGUAGGGGAGCGUUCCAUGAACGGAGAAGUACGACCGAAAGGACGUGUGGAGAUCAUGGAAGAGAGAAUGCCGGUGUGAGUAGCGGAACGUGGGUGAGAAUCCCACGCACCGAAAACCCAAGGUUUCCAGAGGAAGGUUCGUCCGCUCUGGGUAAGUCGGGACCUAAGGCGAGGCCGAAAGGCGUAGUCGAUGGACAACAGGUAGAGAUUCCUGUACCCGUAUAUAUGUGAAGGAAUGACGGAGAGAGGAAGCUGCAGCCAGCGGCUGGAAGAGCUGGUGCAAGCGAGAUAUCGGGAUGGCAGGCAAAUCCACCAUCCGAAACGAGAAGGCGUGAAGCGUACGGAAAGCUACGGCGAGUACGGAAGGCAGUGGAGGAACUUCCAAGAAAAGUUUCUAACGUUAAGUAUAUAUGGCCCGUACCGAAAAUGGACACACAUGGGUGAGGAGAGAAUCCUAAGGUGAGCGAGAGAACUAUAGCUAAGGAACUCUGCAAAAUGACUCCGUAACUUAGGGAGAAGGAGUGCUCAUAGAGAUAUGAGCCGCAGUGAAACGGCCCAAGCGACUGUUUACCAAAAACACAGCUCUCUGCUAAGCCGCAAGGCGAAGUAUAGGGGGUGACGCCUGCCCGGUGCUGGAAGGUUAAGGGGAGGGGUUAACGCAAGUGAAGCCCUGAACUGAAGCCCCAGUAAACGGCGGCCGUAACUAUAACGGUCCUAAGGUAGCGAAAUUCCUUGUCAGGUAAGUUCUGACCCGCACGAAAGGCGUAACGAUUUGGGCGCUGUCUCAGCUGUAGACUCGGUGAAGUCUUAGUACCUGUGAAGAUGCAGGUUACCCGCGACUAGACGGAAAGACCCCAUGGAGCUUCACUGCAGGUUGAUAUUGGGAUUUGAUGCAGCAUGUACAGGAUAGGUAGGAGGCAAAGAGAUGGAUACGCCAGUAUUCAAGGAGCCGCUGUUGGGAUACUACCCCUGUUGUAUUGGAUUUCUAACCGGACGACGUAGAGCCGUUGACGGGACAGUGUCAGUCGGGCAGUUUGACUGGGGCGGUCGCCUCCCAAAGAGUAACGGAGGCGCCCAAAGAUACCCUCAGCUUGGAUGGAAACCAAGCGCAGAGUGCAAAGGCAAAAGGGUGUUUGACUGCGAGACCCACAAGUCGAGCAGGGACGAAAGUCGGGCUUAGUGAUCCGGCGGUGCUGAAUGGAAAGGCCGUCGCUCAACGGAUAAAAGCUACCCUGGGGAUAACAGGCUGAUCUCCCCCAAGAGUCCACAUCGACGGGGAGGUUUGGCACCUCGAUGUCGGCUCAUCGCAUCCUGGAGCUGAAGUCGGUUCCAAGGGUUGGGCUGUUCGCCCAUUAAAGCGGUACGCGAGCUGGGUUCAGAACGUCGUGAGACAGUUCGGUCCCUAUCUGUCGUGGGCGCAGGAAAUUUGAGAAGAGCUGUCCUCAGUACGAGAGGACCGGGAUGGACGCAUCAAUGGUGGACCAGUUGUCACGCCAGUGGCAUAGCUGGGUAGCUAAAUGCGGAAGGGAUAAACGCUGAAGGCAUCUAAGUGUGAAACCCACUUCAAGAUGAGAUUUCCCAUUGCGCAAGCAAGUAAGACCCCUUAAAGACGAUAAGGUAGAUAGGUCAGGAGUGUAAGCAUGGUGACAUGUUAAGCGGACUGAUACUAAUAGGUCGAGGGCUUGACCGA